RNAcentral lists this transfer-messenger RNA (393 nucleotides) under Methylicorpusculum oleiharenae. Its description in RNAcentral is "Standard tmRNA". It matches the Rfam family "transfer-messenger RNA". Rfam says of the family: Bacterial tmRNA, also known as 10Sa RNA or SsrA, is named for its dual tRNA and mRNA-like properties. The record is from RNAcentral. Lineage: Bacteria; Pseudomonadati; Pseudomonadota; Gammaproteobacteria; Methylococcales; Methylococcaceae. RNAcentral also lists the same sequence under 2 other names.
GGGGGCGACAUGGCUUCGACGUGGGUAGCGAAACCUUAAGUGCAUGCCGAGCACAGUACAGCUCGUAAAACCUACUGAAAAAAAGUAUUCGCAAAUGACGAAAACUACUCAAUGGCUUUAGCUGCCUAAAAACAGCUACCAUUCCUUUGACUGUGUGUGCUUAUGCGCGCAGAGUUCUUGAAGCUCUUCGGAGUCGAGGGGACGCUCAGAGGUCAUAUUACAUAAGAUCGUGCUGACGCUAGUCCGGAGCUGAUGCCCUAAAACUUACGGAAUCGCUGACAGUUUUCUUGGCCUGACGGGUAGCUGGCGGUUAAAUCAAAAGUUCAGGAUAAGCAUGUAGAUCUUGUGGCGGAGUACUUGCGGACGCGGGUUCAAUCCCCGCCGCCUCCACCA